AAGUCGUAACAAGGUCUCCGUUGGUGAACCAGCGGAGGGAUCAUUACUGAGUUUACGCUCUAUAACCCUUUGUGAACAUACCUAUAACUGUUGCUUCGGCGGGUAGGGUCUCCGCGACCCUCCCGGCCUCCCGCCUCCGGGCGGGUCGGCGCCCGCCGGAGGAUAACCAAACUCUGAUUUAACGACGUUUCUUCUGAGUGGUACAAGCAAAUAAUCAAAACUUUUAACAACGGAUCUCUUGGUUCUGGCAUCGAUGAAGAACGCAGCGAAAUGCGAUAAGUAAUGUGAAUUGCAGAAUUCAGUGAAUCAUCGAAUCUUUGAACGCACAUUGCGCCCGCCAGCAUUCUGGCGGGCAUGCCUGUUCGAGCGUCAUUUCAACCCUCAAGCUCUGCUUGGUGUUGGGGCCCUACAGCUGAUGUAGGCCCUCAAAGGUAGUGGCGGACCCUCCCGGAGCCUCCUUUGCGUAGUAACUUUACGUCUCGCACUGGGAUCCGGAGGGACUCUUGCCGUAAAACCCCCCAAUUUUCCAAAGGUUGACCUCGGAUCAGGUAGGAAUACCCGCUGAACUU
Molecule: ribosomal RNA, 569 nt
Filed under: Colletotrichum gloeosporioides
Lineage: Eukaryota; Fungi; Ascomycota; Sordariomycetes; Glomerellales; Glomerellaceae
Description: eukaryotic LSU rRNA
Rfam family: 5.8S ribosomal RNA (bases 219-372)
Source: RNAcentral